UUAGUAGAAGCCAAAAUAGAGGCUAGUCACUGUUAAUGAUUAAAAUGAAUUUAUUUUCCUACUAAA
Molecule: transfer RNA, 66 nt
Filed under: Neoglyphea inopinata
Lineage: Eukaryota; Metazoa; Arthropoda; Malacostraca; Decapoda; Glypheidae
Description: tRNA-Asn
Source: RNAcentral